This 492-nucleotide ribosomal RNA is filed under the name uncultured bacterium. RNAcentral's name for it is "partial 16S ribosomal RNA". It matches the Rfam family "Bacterial small subunit ribosomal RNA", at positions 28 to 507 of the family's 1533-position model. The record is from RNAcentral.
GAUGAACGCUGGCUACAGGCUUAACACAUGCAAGUCGAGGGGAAACGGCAUUGAGUGCUUGCACUGAAUGGACGUCGACCGGCGCACGGGUGAGUAACGCGUAUCCAACCUUCCCGUUACUGCGGGAUAACCUGCCGAAAGGCAGACUAAUACCGCAUGUUCUUCGAUGACGGCAUCAGAUUCGAAGCAAAGAUCCGUCGGUAACGGAGGGGGAUGCGUCUGAUUAGCUAGUUGGCGGGGCGACGGCCCACCAAGGCGACGAUCAGUAGGGGUUCUGAGAGGAAGGUCCCCCACAUUGGAACUGAGACACGGGCCAAACACCUACGGGAGGCAGCAGUGAGGAAUAUAGGUCAAUGGGCGGAAGCCUGAACCAGCCAAGUAGCGUGCAGGAUGACGGCCCUACGGGUUGUAAACUGCUUUUAGGCGGGGAUAAAGUGAGGGACGCGUCCCUUUUUGCAGGUACCGCAUGAAUAAGGACCGGCUAAUUCCGUG